This 253-nucleotide ribosomal RNA is filed under the name uncultured bacterium. RNAcentral describes it as "partial 16S ribosomal RNA". It matches the Rfam family "Bacterial small subunit ribosomal RNA", at positions 524 to 776 of the family's 1533-position model. The record is from RNAcentral.
UACAGAGGGUGCAAACGUUGUUCGGAAUUACUGGGCGUAAAGCGCGUGUAGGCGGCCAAUUAUGUCGAAUGUGAAAGCCCUCGGCUUAACCGAGGAAGUGCGUUCGAAACUGGUUGGCUUGAGUACCGGAGAGGGGGGUGGAAUUCCCGGUGUAGAGGUGAAAUUCGUAGAUAUCGGGAGGAACACCAGUGGCGAAAGCGACCCCCUGGACGGUUACUGACGCUGAGACGCGAAAGCGUGGGGAGCAAACAGG